GCAUAUCAAUAAGCGGAGGAAAAGAAACCAACAGGGAUUGCCCUAGUAACGGCGAGUGAAGCGGCAACAGCUCAAAUUUGAAAUCUGGCGCAAGCCCGAGUUGUAAUUUGUAGAGGAUGCUUCUGGCCAGCGGCCGUUCUAAGUUCCUUGGAACGGGACGUCAUAGAGGGUGAGAACCCCGUAUGUGACCGGCGCGCAGCCUUUACGUAGCUCCUUCGACGAGUCGAGUUGUUUGGGAAUGCAGCUCUAAAUGGGAGGUAAAUUUCUUCUAAAGCUAAAUACCGGCCAGAGACCGAUAGCGCACAAGUAGAGUGAUCGAAAGAUGAAAAGCACUUUGGAAAGAGAGUUAAAAAGCACGUGAAAUUGUUGAAAGGGAAGCGCUUGCAACCAGACUUUGUAGCAAUGUUCCGCCGGUCUCCUGACCGGUCUACUCAUUGCCACGAGGCCAACAUCGUCUGGGCCCGCUGGAUAAGACCUCAGGAAUGUAGCUUCCCUCGGGAAGUGUUAUAGCCCGUGGUGAUGCAGCGCGGCUCGGGCGAGGUCCGCGCUACGGCAAGGAUGUUGGCGUAAUGGUUGCCAGCGGCCCGUCUUGAAACACGGACCAAGGAGUCUAACAUCUAUGCGAGUGUUCGGGUGUCAAACCCCUACGCGUAAUGAAAGUGAACGGAGGUGGGAGGCGUAAGCUGCACCAUCGACCGAUCCUGAUGUCCUCGGAUGGAUUUGAGUAAGAGCAUAGCUGUUGGGACCCGAAAGAUGGUGAACUAUGCCUGAAUAGGGUGAAGCCAGAGGAAACUCUGGUGGAGGCUCGCAGCGGUUCUGACGUGCAAAUCGAUCGUCAAAUUUGGGUAUAGGGGCGAAAGACUAAUCGAACCAUCUAGUAGCUGGUUCCUGCCGAG
RNAcentral lists this ribosomal RNA (896 nucleotides) under Sultanimyces vitiphyllus. Its description in RNAcentral is "LSU rRNA". It matches the Rfam family "Eukaryotic large subunit ribosomal RNA", at positions 38 to 965 of the family's 3401-position model. The record is from RNAcentral. Lineage: Eukaryota; Fungi; Ascomycota; Dothideomycetes; Mycosphaerellales; Mycosphaerellaceae.